GAUGAAGAACGUAGCGAAAUGCGAUAAGUAAUGUGAAUUGCAGAAUUCAGUGAAUCAUCGAAUCUUUGAACGCAUCUUGCGCUCCUUGGUAUUCUGAGGAGCAUGCCUGUUUGAGUGUCAUUAAAUUCUCAACUACACUGACUUUGAAUUGGUGUGGCUUGGAUUUGGGGGGAAAAUUGUUGUGGGCUUUUUGUAUAGUCUGCUCCCCUGAAAUUGAUUAGCGGUACGUUUGUGGAACUGUCUACAGGUGUGAUAAUUAUCUACAUCUUAGACAUCUGCUGGAAUGCUGCUUUCUAAACCUUACUUGUAUUGACAAUCUUGACCUCAAAUCAGGUAGGACUACCCGCUGAACUUAAGCAUAUCAAUAAGCGGAGGA
This 376-nucleotide unclassified non-coding RNA is filed under the name soil metagenome. RNAcentral describes it as "partial contains 5.8S ribosomal RNA, internal transcribed spacer 2, and large subunit ribosomal RNA". The stretch from base 1 to 120 matches the Rfam family "5.8S ribosomal RNA", at positions 35 to 154 of the family's 154-position model. The record is from RNAcentral.